This 406-nucleotide ribosomal RNA is filed under the name uncultured bacterium. RNAcentral's name for it is "bacterial SSU rRNA". It matches the Rfam family "Bacterial small subunit ribosomal RNA", at positions 355 to 776 of the family's 1533-position model. The record is from RNAcentral.
UAGGGAAUUUUCCGCAAUGGGCGAAAGCCUGACGGAGCAACGCCGCGUGAGUGAAGACGGUUUUCGGAUUGUAAAACUCUGUUCUUGGGGAAGAAAACAAUGACGGUACCCAAGGAGAAAGCCCCGGCUAACUACGUGCCAGCAGCCGCGGUAAUACGUAGGGGGCAAGCGUUGUCCGGAAUUAUUGGGCGUAAAGCGCGCGCAGGCGGUUUUUUAAGUUGGGUGUCAAAGGCAGUGGCUCAACCACUGUACGCACCCAAAACUGGAGAGCUUGAGUGCAGGAGAGGGGAGUGGAAUUCCCGGUGUAGCGGUGGAAUGCGUAGAGAUCGGGAGGAACACCAGUGGCGAAGGCGACUCUCUGGCCUGCAACUGACGCUGAGGCGCGAAAGCGUGGGGAGCAAACAGG